GGGAGAGGAAGACGGAACCGCCGUCCGUCCGUGUGUCCCGAGGCCCACCCUGAGCUGGGCAGCGCUCUGGGCUUAGCUGAGACCCGGGACUCACGGCGCCCCCAGCCCUUGGUCUGCAGCGGCCAGGCCGAGGCUCUGCCGCUCCCACCACGUUGGCGGGUGAGAUGCAGCCAGCGGAGCAGCCCUGGGCUCGCCGUCCGUGCGGACAGACGGUCAGACACAGAAGCGCGGCCUCAGCAUCCGCUCCCACACCGGGCCCUCCUCCGUGGGUGGAAUAGUGACGUCUUACGGAAACCGCGUCACCCUAAAUGCAGGCCGUAUUGGCGUUUUUCUUCUGGGUCCCCUUCCCCUCCUUCCUGAAGGCGCCGGAGGAGUCAACGCUCUGGUGUCCCUCAGACCUCAGCGGAUCCCCGACGUGACCUGGGGGUGCGGUGGGGAGGACCCGUCUCACCCGGAGGGGGCUCCGGGGAGGCCCGCGGGCAGGGUCCUGGUCCUCAAGCAUUCAGGAAACGCGCUCCUGCGUCCCUCCGGCCGCUGACGUCGCAUCGGCAGCGUGCCUCAUGCGUGUUCGGUCUGGACACGUACGAACGGAAAGGUCAAGUCCAGCUGCUCAGAGCUGCGGCGAAGGGUCCCUCGGGCUCCAGGGGGAACCGUGGUCCGGUCACUGUCCAUGCCUCUGCCGUCUAGAACCCUGACUCGGGAAGCCCAGAGAGCCGAUGAAGUGGGGGACCUGGUGUUUCCGAGAAGCCCCCCCCCCCCGCCCCACCCCACAGUGUCUGGGAAGAAAGACCGAGCGGGUCCACGAACUUGUCUUCGGUCUGGCCGAGCCCUCCCGGGGCUCACACACGCUGCCCUGUGAGGCACCAGCGACUCCAGUGACAAUGACGAUGCAGCGCCCACGGUUCCCCAGCCCUGGAACGUGGACUCAGAGGAAGGGCUUCUGUGAGAAGAGUGGGAAGAACUUGGAACGUCACGUCACGGUAGAUCUCACCGCUCUUAGGAUACUCUUCAGCCGCCGGAUCCCUGGGGAUGGUUUUGUGAUGGGCCACCCCAGUAAGCUCCGGGGGUCCCCCACAGUAUUGAGGGUUCCUCUCCACUGUGUCUUCUCCCAUCCGCCCGCCCUCCAUCUUGGGAGCAGUACAUCCUUCCUUGGCCUCGUGCAGAAGAGCUCCCACCCCUGUCACCCCAACACGCGUGCAAGCCCCCAAGACGCGAAGCCAGCUAACGACCUGGAUCUCAAAGUCCCUGCUUCCAAGGCUCCCGAGGCUGCUUCUUGCCAGCAAAGGCGGUUCCGGCCCUUAGAAGAAUUCUGAUGUUUAAAAAAAUAACAAUUUCUGGCUGGCGUAGCUCAGUGGAUUGAGCUCGGGCUGCGAACCAAAGUGUCGCAGGUUCGAUUCCCAGUCAGAGCACAUGCCUGGGUUGCAGGC
This is a long non-coding RNA of Phyllostomus hastatus (greater spear-nosed bat), 1427 nucleotides long. RefSeq lists it as uncharacterized. The record is from RefSeq and is a predicted model, not a curated record. Lineage: Eukaryota; Metazoa; Chordata; Mammalia; Chiroptera; Phyllostomidae. The transcript has 4 exons.